UACAGAGGGGGCAAGCGUUAUUCGGAAUUAUUGGGCGUAAAGGGCGCGUAGGCGGCUUGGCAAGUGGAUGGUGAAAUCCCUCGGCUUAACCGAGGAACUGCCGUCCAAACUGCUUUGCUUGAGGCCGGGAGAGGCGAGUGGAAUUCCCAGUGUAGCGGUGAAAUGCGUAGAUAUUGGGAGGAACACCAGUGGCGAAGGCGGCUCGCUGGACCGGUUCUGACGCUGAUGCGCGAAAGCGUGGGGAGCAAACGGGG
Molecule: ribosomal RNA, 254 nt
Filed under: uncultured bacterium
Lineage: Bacteria
Description: partial 16S ribosomal RNA
Rfam family: Bacterial small subunit ribosomal RNA
Source: RNAcentral